UACGGGAGGCAGCAGGGGGAAUAUUGCACAAUGGGCGAAAGCCUGAUGCAGCUAUGCCGCGUGUAUGAAGAAGGCCUUAGGGUUGUAAAGUACUUUCAUCGGGGAGGAAAAAACAAAACUAAUAAUUUUAUUUCUUGACGUUACCCGAAAAAGAAGCACCGGCUAACUCCGUGCCAGCAGCCGCGGUAAUACGGAGGGUGCUAGCGUUAAUCAGAAUUACUGGGCGUAAAGAGCACGUAGGUGGUUUUUUUAAAGUCAGAUGUGAAAUCCCUGGGCUUAACCUAGGAACUGCAUUUUGAAACUGAAAUACUAGAGUAUCGUAGAGGGAGGUAGAAUUCUAGGUGUAGCGGUGAAAUGCGUAGAUAUCUGGAGGAAUACCUGUGGCGAAAGCGGCCUCCUAAACGAAUACUGACACUGAGGGUGCGAAAAGCGUGGGGAGCAAACAGGGAUUAGAUACC
This 458-nucleotide ribosomal RNA is filed under the name uncultured bacterium. RNAcentral's name for it is "bacterial SSU rRNA". It matches the Rfam family "Bacterial small subunit ribosomal RNA", at positions 340 to 786 of the family's 1533-position model. The record is from RNAcentral.